UACGGGGGGGGCUAGCGUUAUUCGGAAUUAUUGGGCGUAAAGCGCGCGUAGGCGGCGUCGUAAGUCAUGGGUGAAAUCCCUCGGCUCAACCGAGGAAUUGCCCUUGAAACUGCUUCGCUUGAGGCCGGGAGGGGGUAGCGGAAUUCCCAGUGUAGCGGUGAAAUGCGUAGAUAUUGGGAGGAACACCGGUGGCGAAGGCGGCUACCUGGACCGGUUCUGACGCUGAUGCGCGAAAGCGUGGGGAGCAAACAGG
RNAcentral lists this ribosomal RNA (253 nucleotides) under uncultured bacterium. Its description in RNAcentral is "partial 16S ribosomal RNA". It matches the Rfam family "Bacterial small subunit ribosomal RNA", at positions 524 to 776 of the family's 1533-position model. The record is from RNAcentral.